AUACUGCAUUUAUGAAACACUUUAACAUCUUGUCCUUUUUACAAAUACUUUUUCUAAGUGUUUUAAUUUUUAUUUUCUAUUUUCCACUAAUUAGACUUACCUACUGUGGAAGAAUUGAUGAAACCAAUUAAAGGAAAUUCAUACAAUAUCAGAGGGGUCGAUGUGGAGCCCGAAAGUCCUGUGAAACUGGUAGGCAGCACAGCAAAUGACCUUAUCAGCCACUUGCCCUUUAAAGAGCACCAGAAUAGUAAGAUUUGGGAGACAAACUUACUUGAAAAAUUUAACAGAGAAGAGAGCAUCUUUCUGCAGCCAGCUGUGAAUGAUGAUAACUUCCAGAGGAUAACUGAGAAAGAAAUUCAAACCAGUGAAGUACAGCCUGAUGUGCCAAGCGAAAAAAUAGUACAAGACUCUCCACUUUCACAAGACGGCAAAGCUAAACAAGCUCUUCAGUCUUGUUCCUUGAAGAAUGACAGAUCAGAAUCAAUGACAACUAAGAAUAUCAGAAGUCCAGCACCUGUACAUAAAAAGAAAUCUUCGUAUGGUCCUCACGGGGUGGUUAGAAGCUCUGGGUAUGGGAAACCCACUUCACUCUCAAAACAAUCUUUUCCAGCUAAUGAAAAGAGAGCACUAAAAGAAACUUUCAAAAAGACCAGUGUGAAAGCCAAAAGUCCUACAGAUAGAGCAAGAUCUAAAGAUGCCUUAUCUGCUACAAGGAUAAUAAGACCUGCAACAAAUGAACCAGCUUCGAAGGGAAGCACUAAUAGGGUUAUGUCUGGCCAAUCAGUCGUUAAUAAUCUCGGACACCAGGCUGUGGAUUAUUGCAGGCAGUAUCAACAUGUAAGUAAUAAUCAGUGAUGUUCCUAAUUAUACUAUAUACAGCUUGCUUUGCAAGCCUGUUUUGUCAAGACUUUUAAUAAUU
RNAcentral lists this long non-coding RNA (919 nucleotides) under Calidris pygmaea (Spoon-billed sandpiper). RNAcentral describes it as "lncRNA (ENSCPGG00000016586.1)". The record is from RNAcentral. Lineage: Eukaryota; Metazoa; Chordata; Aves; Charadriiformes; Scolopacidae.